Molecule: ribosomal RNA, 496 nt
Filed under: uncultured bacterium
Lineage: Bacteria
Description: partial 16S ribosomal RNA
Rfam family: Bacterial small subunit ribosomal RNA
Source: RNAcentral
AUGAACGCUGGCGGCGUGCCUAAUACAUGCAAGUCGGGCGAACAGACGAGGAGCUUGCUCCUCUGACGUUAGCGGCGGACGGGUGAGUAACACGUGGAUAACCUACCUAUAAGACUGGGAUAACUUCGGGAAACCGGAGCUAAUACCGGAUAAUAUAUUGAACCGCAUGGUUCAAUAGUGAAAGACGGUUUUGCUGUCACUUAUAGAUGGAUCCGCGCCGCAUUAGCUAGUUGGUAAGGUAACGGCUUACCAAGGCAACGAUGCGUAGCCGACCUGAGAGGGUGAUCGGCCACACUGGAACUGAGACACGGUCCAGACUCCUACGGGAGGCAGCAGUAGGGAAUCUUCCGCAAUGGGCGAAAGCUUGACGGAGCAACGCCGCGUGAGUGAUGAAGGUCUUCGGAUCGUAAAACUCUGUUAUUAGGGAAGAACAAAUGUGUAAGUAACUAUGCACGUCUUGACGGUACCUAAUCAGAAAGCCACGGCUAACUACGUG